UACGGAGGGGGCUAGCGUUGUUCGGAAUUACUGGGCGUAAAGCGCACGUAGGCGGCUUUGUAAGUUAGAGGUGAAAGCCCAGGGCUUAACCCUGGAAUUGCCUUUAAGACUGCAUCGCUAGAAUCGUGGAGAGGUGAGUGGAAUUCCGAGUGUAGAGGUGAAAUUCGUAGAUAUUCGGAAGAACACCGGUGGCGAAGGCGGUCUGCUGGGCAGUUGCUGACACUGAGGCGCGACAGCGUGGGGAGCAAACAGG
Molecule: ribosomal RNA, 253 nt
Filed under: uncultured bacterium
Lineage: Bacteria
Description: partial 16S ribosomal RNA
Rfam family: Bacterial small subunit ribosomal RNA
Source: RNAcentral